GGAAUAUUGCACAAUGGGCGCAAGCCUGAUCCAGCAACGCCGCGUGGAGGACGAAGGUCUUCGGAUCGUAAACUCCUGUCAGACGGGACGAAGGGACCGGGGUAAAUAAUCCCGGUUCUUGACGGUACUGUCAGAGGAAGCCCCGGCUAACUCCGUGCCGGCAGCCGCGGUAACACGGAGGGGGCGAGCGUUAUUCGGAAUUAUUGGGCGUAAAGGGCGCGUAGGCGGCUUGGCAAGUCAAAGGUGAAAUCCCUCGGCUCAACUGAGGAACUGCCUUUGAAACUGCCUGGCUUGAGGCCGGGAGGGGGUAGCGGAAUUCCCAGUGUAGCGGUGAAAUGCGUAGAUAUUGGGAGGAACACCAGUGGUGAAGGCGGCUACCUGGACCGGUUCUGACGCUGAUGCGCGAAAGCGUGGGUAGCAA
This 421-nucleotide ribosomal RNA is filed under the name uncultured bacterium. Its description in RNAcentral is "bacterial SSU rRNA". It matches the Rfam family "Bacterial small subunit ribosomal RNA", at positions 358 to 771 of the family's 1533-position model. The record is from RNAcentral.